Molecule: ribosomal RNA, 433 nt
Filed under: uncultured bacterium
Lineage: Bacteria
Description: partial 16S ribosomal RNA
Rfam family: Bacterial small subunit ribosomal RNA
Source: RNAcentral
AACGAACGCUGGCGGCAUGCCUAACACAUGCAAGUCGAACGAGACCUUCGGGUCUAGUGGCGCACUGGUGCGUAACGCGUGGGAACCUGCCCUUAGGUUCGGAAUAACUCCCCGAAAGGGGUGCUAAUACCGGAUAAUGUCUUCGGACCAAAGAUUUAUCGCCUUUGGAUGGGCCCGCGUUGGAUUAGCUAGUUGGUAGGGUAAAAGCCUACCAAGGCGACGAUCCAUAGCUGGUCUGAGAGGAUGAUCAGCCACACUGGGACUGAGACACGGCCCAGACUACUACGGGAGGCAGCAGUGGGGAAUAUUGGAAAAUGGGCGAAAGCCUGAUCCAGCAAUGCCGCGUGAGUGAUGAAGGCCUUAGGGUUGUAAAGCUCUUUUACCCGGGAUGAUAAUGACAGUACCGGGAGAAUAAGCUCCGGCUAACUCCGUG